Long non-coding RNA from Ipomoea nil (Japanese morning glory), 294 nucleotides. RefSeq lists it as uncharacterized. The transcript is spliced from 2 exons. NCBI's taxonomy places the organism in Eukaryota, Viridiplantae, Streptophyta, Magnoliopsida, Solanales, Convolvulaceae. The record is from RefSeq and is a predicted model, not a curated record.
GAAAAUCUACUUAAAGUGCAGUAAAAACAAAGAUAGCAUUACCUAAUCAUCAUGAAGCACAAACUCAAGACUCUUGCUGGUACAAACAUGGAAGACAUUUUAUUUUACUUCGCAGGUGAUGAAGAAAAAUAUGCUCUGAUGGCUAACAAUGAAGAUCUGGACGAAGCAUUGGUUGUGAAUGGGGCCUUUUAUAGGCUUAAAGAAUUAAUGUCAUGGCUGCUCUUGAAAAAUUUUCAAGAUCAUCCACAUUAUUGGAAUUCCAAGCUUGAAUUAAAUGUUGUUGCUUUAUUUAAA